Molecule: long non-coding RNA, 320 nt
Filed under: Ananas comosus (pineapple)
Lineage: Eukaryota; Viridiplantae; Streptophyta; Magnoliopsida; Poales; Bromeliaceae
Description: long non-coding RNA (ACOM_LNC039239)
Source: RNAcentral
AUUUGGUUGGAGAGCCAUUUGACAGGUUCCGGUAAGGUUGCGGUGUAAUGUAAUAUACCGGAUUUAAAUAUAAAAAUAGAAAUAAAUAAAAAUAGUAUGAGAUACUAUUUUUAUUGAAUUUAGAGAAGUGAAAUAUAAGUUGGGAAUGACCUGUGCUGAAAUCGGAAUUAAAACAGAAGAUUUAGAAUUUUCUGUUGGAAACGGGGUAGAUAAAUUAGCAGAAAAUGCACAGUCUCAGAAAAUUAUGAAAAUUGGCAGAGAUGUCAGAAAUAUUUUUAUGAGGCUAGAUUUAAGGUUUCAUAUUUUUCUGACACCCGUAG